This is a long non-coding RNA of Drosophila mojavensis, 418 nucleotides long. RefSeq lists it as uncharacterized. The record is from RefSeq and is a predicted model, not a curated record. NCBI's taxonomy places the organism in Eukaryota, Metazoa, Arthropoda, Insecta, Diptera, Drosophilidae. The transcript has 2 exons.
GAAAAAGUGGUCAGCUAUCCACCAAGGUGCAACCACUUCGCGUUUAAAUUAUCGACUGUUUUGUACUAAAGGUUUGAUAUACAUUCACAGGUAGUAGUUCUUUGAUAACGCCUACGCAUGGAUUUAACAAAUCAAAGAUAGGGACAUUUCAACUAUUGAUAGAGCUAUAAAAAAACCCCUUCUAAUGGUUGCGGAACCUCGCAGGGAGGUCCUGUGGAUGGCACUUCUUGAGAAUAAAUUCCUGGAAAAUAAUUUUACCUAAUUUUAUUUUUAUCUAAAUACAUACAUCAUAAAUAAAAGCAUUAUAAUAUUAUGAUUCACUGAUGAUAAAUGUGAAUCUACAUACUAACAUCAAAAGAGACACAUUAUAGCAUAAGACAACAUACACUAUAUAAAUAAAUAUAAUACUAUUGCUGAA